RNAcentral lists this ribosomal RNA (461 nucleotides) under uncultured bacterium. Its description in RNAcentral is "bacterial SSU rRNA". It matches the Rfam family "Bacterial small subunit ribosomal RNA", at positions 28 to 507 of the family's 1533-position model. The record is from RNAcentral.
GAUGAACGCUGGCGGCGUGCUUAAUACAUGCAAGUCGAACGGAGACUGUAGCAAUACUGUCUUAGUGGCGAACGGGUGAGUAACGCGUUGGUGACCUGCCCCGAAGAGGGGGAUAACAGUCCGAAAGGAUUGCUAAUACCCCAUGUGGUCGUUUGGAUUAGAUGCCUUAUGACUAAACGGAUUUAUUCGCUUCGGGAGGGGCCUGCGUCCCAUCAGCUAGUUGGUGAGGUAAUAGCUUACCAAGGCGAUGACGGGUAGGGGACCUGAGAGGGUGGCCCCCCACAAUGGAACUGAAACACGGUCCAUACACCUACGGGUGGCAGCAGUAGGGAAUAUUGGUAAUCUGGGAAACCGGGAACUAGCAACGCCGCGUGCGCGAUGACGGCCUUCGGGUUGUAAAGCGCUUUUUAAAGGGAUGAGGAAGGACAGUACCUUUAGAAUAAGCCUCGGCUAACUACGUG